This 79-nucleotide microRNA precursor is filed under the name Ailuropoda melanoleuca (giant panda). Lineage: Eukaryota; Metazoa; Chordata; Mammalia; Carnivora; Ursidae. The record is from RNAcentral.
GGUACUCAAAGUUAGGUUAUCCAUGUUGCCUUCGCGUUAUUUAUGCGAAUCAUACAUGGUUCACCUAUUUUUCAGUACC